This 2675-nucleotide long non-coding RNA is filed under the name Triticum aestivum (bread wheat). Its description in RNAcentral is "long non-coding RNA (TAES_LNC021150)". The record is from RNAcentral. Lineage: Eukaryota; Viridiplantae; Streptophyta; Magnoliopsida; Poales; Poaceae.
AAGCAGCAUAGUAUCCUAUUAAAUUGCACUGUGGCCUUUAGGUUCACUUUUCUUCUCGCCAAAACCUGAAUUUUGCUACUGUUUAUUUGCAAAAGAAGUUCUGAAAUUUCAAUUUAACAUUACUCAUACCCAUCCUAAAUAUAAAAACAUUACUCUCUAUCCCUCAUACAUUAGCUGACAACCACUUGAACAAGUACCUGUAAAACAGAAUAUUUUCAGUUCUCAGAAGUACAACAAACAUGUAGAGGCAAUUGAAAUAUAUCAACUCGAAUUUGCAGCACCCUUGAAUAUUGACAGGCUGCGUGAGGGUCAGUAUCUACCAACGUAAGGCCAGGUUCCCAACCACCCAGGUAAGAAAUCUAGCAUACCGUACAAAUUCAUUCAACAUUCACCUUAAGCACAAUGCAAAAAUGUGAAAAUCUAAGCUUAGCAAGGUUAGUGUACUAUAGGUGUAUGCAGUGCCUUCAUAGAUGAGACAAAGAGCUACAAAUGCACCAUGCAUUGAAAAAAGAAAACCUGACCGCAAGCAGGUACCGCUAGUAUUCAGUUCUGAACCUUGAGAAAGUUUUGAACCCUUCCUUAUAGAGAACGUCAACAAAAUGCAGAUCAAAAGUGAAAAUCCAUAUUUUUAUUAGAUCGAUUCAAGUUUAGCAAGAUCAGGCCACUGCAGUGUUUAAUUUUCGAUCUAAUCAAUGAUAUGAUCGACCUCCAUGGCAGUGGCUUUCUAACUCAAAAGCUAACAAAACAGUAUACUCUUUAUUAACAAUUCAGUGACAUUGCACAUUCAGAUCACAUUUAAUUGCAUUGGGCUGAGAUGAUUCAUGCUUCUUCUUGGGGUGUUAUUCGUCGAUGCUUGCAGUGUGCAGCUUGUUUUUCACAUUUUAUUGUGUUUUACCCUUUUUGAUUUCCUUCUUUCUACAACAGAACAGAGUAGAUUCACAAUGAUGGGAUGACCAUCCUAAUACAGCAGAAGCUUUCCAGCCCCAUUCUAAGUUAAAUGGCCGAAUAUAUUAUUUUUAGCAAAGCGUAAAACAACAGAAAUCAUGUACCUCUGAAGAUGUGGGCAUGUCAGCAACCUCAUUAUCCCGAUUGAUAGGUAUAAAAAAUCAGCUAUAUUUUCGCACGAAAAAAAGGAAUCAGAUGGACUUGAAGUGUUCUCCUGAAACAAAAAUAACAAGUGUUCAGUAAUAACCAGUACUGACUAAUUAUGUACAAGAGAAGGAGAAUCGUACUGAUAAGUAUCUAGAAGGUAAACGUAACCCUGGGGAAUAAAUGCAGCUUGUCUCUAUCUUGUGUUUUCAUUUGCUUUCUUCAAUCAGCUGUCUGGCUUCUCUCAUCAUUUCUUUUCUAGCUUCUCUUAGUCACUUGAGUGAAGGUAAAGAUUUACCUUGGCGGCUGCAAUCUGAUGAUAGAACUUUUUUAUUUCUGAAUCAAAUAACCUCAGAUGAAAACUAUAACACAACCUUAAGUAAAACAGAAGUUCAUUAGAUUCAGGUAGAAUAAAUUAGGCUUGAGAUCACCUCAUGCCACACCCGGCUACGACAUAAACAGAAACAACACUGAAAAUCAGUAAUUUCUCAGCUCCUCCUCAUGGAUUAUAGUAGCUAGUGGACAACGUACAAAGUGGAUUAAAGAACACAAAACUGUUUCCCAACAAAUAUGUGUUGAAGUAUUGUAGAAAUUAGACUCCAAGGGCUCAAACACAAAACUGGAUUCUGCCCCAGAGUUUUAUUCUAUCAGGUUAGCACUUGAGGCAGACACUUUCCAUUCCGUGAAAAUCAAAUGGACAUUAUGAAUUCGAAAACAAUGAUUCGCUUGAACCCAAAAGAAAACAAACUAACGACAUAAUAAAGUAGUAACCUACUCCAAAAGGAAACAAGACCAUUAGUAAAAGCAAUAAAUGCCUACUCUUCUUGCCAUUUGCAAUAACAGGCUGCAGGUUACUUUUCAGAAUACUAUCACGCAAAUCAGAUUCUGAUUAACCUCCUUUAAAUUUCUUUGAGCUAAGUUGGCUAAUUGUUUUCCCUAAGACGAGCUCGUGCAACGAAGUCCAACUAAAUCGGAUCAUUUCACAACUGCAGGUAGAUCAAUCAUACAAUCACCGUAACUUAUCCUAUUCUGAGUUUCUGACACACCGUAUCAAAGAAUUGGGUCAAAGAGUUAUACAUACAAGAAAGGAACAAGUAAGAUUCCUCCUAAAGUCACGAGAACAAAAAUAACCAUAACCUUUUGAGGCACCUGGGGGUCCUCUCAUCCUCUGCCUGGUUAAUAUGGGCGAGAUCUGGAUGUUGGGGCGACUAGUGGCACUCAGGUAGGGAAAUUGCAAUCGAGAUGCUCAAUGCUGCCCAGGACACCGGACAUGGUGCAGGCCAAACACCAUGCUAUGAGACUACGAAGCCUCCCGCAAGGCCUGGCCGUCGACCGACGAAGCCUCCACCAGUCGCGAAGCCCCCCGCGUCUCUGCUGGCCUCAACGCUGCCGCCGACCAAUGGGCGCACCCCCCGCAACACACAACGAGAUCACAUCUUAAAAAGAAUUAGAAAAUCAUGCAUACAAGAAUUAGAUAGUAAAAAUCCCUCAUAUCCCACCCCGUAACUAAGAAAUUCAUGGCAAAAAGUAAAUUGGUCUAAGGUAAGCACGCAUCAAAUUUCAAAUCCCAAUCUUCUUUAUCCCGA